Molecule: long non-coding RNA, 317 nt
Filed under: Setaria italica (foxtail millet)
Lineage: Eukaryota; Viridiplantae; Streptophyta; Magnoliopsida; Poales; Poaceae
Description: long non-coding RNA (SITA_LNC003333)
Source: RNAcentral
GCCGUGGACCGUGACGCGGCGAGGGACCUUGAUGUAAUCGAUGGCUUGGAUUUGGAUAGACUGACUUCCUCCUACUCGCACCCGUCAUCCCCAACGUUUUGCUAGAGAGAUGAUGAUCAUCGUAGGUUCUCCUGAUUCUUUUGCUGCUGCUGCUGCUGCUGCUGCUUUGCCCGGCUCAUCAUCGUAUAUGUUGUAUAUGUGUGAUUUGUCUAUAUUUAAUUAUCGUAGUUUACGUACAUAUAUACAUGAUUCCGUGUUGUUGGCUUGUUGCCUGCGAUCGAGUGGGAAUUAUAUAUAAAAGCGAGAUCACAGGUGAU